This 520-nucleotide ribosomal RNA is filed under the name uncultured Archaeospora. Its description in RNAcentral is "SSU rRNA". It matches the Rfam family "Eukaryotic small subunit ribosomal RNA", at positions 569 to 1094 of the family's 1831-position model. Lineage: Eukaryota; Fungi; Glomeromycota; Glomeromycetes; Archaeosporales; Archaeosporaceae. The record is from RNAcentral.
AGCAGCCGCGGUAAUUCCAGCUCCAAUAGCGUAUAUUAAAGUUGUUGCAGUUAAAAAGCUCGUAGUUGAAUUUUGGGUUUGGCCGAUUGGUCCGUUCUUGUAACGAGUACUGGUCGGUUGGGCCUCACCGCUUGGUGAUGCGUAAUGCCCUUUAUUGGAUGUUGCGAGUAGCCAAGACCUUUACCUUGAAAAAAUUAGAGUGUUUAAAGCAGGCAUAUGCCGGAAUACAUUAGCAUGGAAUAAUAGAAUAGGACAACGAUUCUAUUUUGUUGGUUUCUAGGACCGUUGUAAUGAUUAAUAGGGAUAGUUGGGGGCAUUAGUAUUCAAUUGUCAGAGGUGAAAUUCUUGGAUUUAUUGAAGACUAACUACUGCGAAAGCAUUUGCCAAGGAUGUUUUCAUUAAUCAAGAACGAAAGUUAGGGGAUCGAAGACGAUCAGAUACCGUCGUAGUCUUAACCAUAAACUAUGCCGACUAGGGAUCGGGCGAAGUUGUUUCAAUGACUCGCUCGGCACCUUAUGGG